UAAGUGUUUGUUGUAUGUUAUUCUUUAAGCUUAGUUUCUUCUAGCUUCCAAUGAAACGAAACCUUCUUCUUCUUUCGUUACGGCUUCCGAUCUGCGACGAGGACGUCUUCCCUCUUCUUGUUAUCAGCGGUUGACUCCAACAGCUUCACCGAGGUCUUCCUUCAUCUUUUUGAGCAUCCGGCGGCGGAGGAUGGCAAUGACGAGAUCUCUAGGUUUCUGAGCUUCUGGCGACAGCAGUAGUGGCAACUUCAGCUUCUAUUUUCUUUCUAAGCUUCCGUCUCCCUUCUAGCUUCUUCCUAGCAGCGGCGGCUUCUCCGAUCUAUUUUUGUUCUGAGCUUUCGGUGGCAGAGGAUGGCAAAGCAGCUCUCAGAAGCUCCGGCGGUGGAGUGACGGCAAUUGAGCACCUCGGCGGUAUCAGGCCACGACUUCGGCAGCUUCUCCACGUUCUCAUCUGGUAUGUUCUCUCUUCUCCAUGACUCCAUCUCUUUCGCCGGUUGCUUCAGAUCUGAGCCGGAAACUAGGUGCCAUAGCCUUAAGAUCUCCAGUUCGACGGUAACAUAUCAGACCAAGAAGCCGUCUUCUUGCUGAACCAAAGUAAAGAAUACCAUCGGCUUAGACUGUGGUGACAAAUUUGAAAUCCUUAAUUUUUCUCCUUUGCGGCUCCUACGCGACUUGACGACUCCGGCUAGCGUCGCUGACUUCUCUCAGUUCUCGGAUAUGCAACAAGCUUAGCUAGGAAGAUGCAUGAGGAAGCUAAAGAACUACUUGUGGUGAGUCUAAAACUUAGAGCUUCUUCACACCUCCUCUAGCAUGGUUCCUAUGAUCUCAACCUAAUUACCCUUAUGUAUUUGGAGACAGAUGGGUGUUUAAUUUCCUUAGAAUUCAUGCAAGGAUUUCUUGUUUAGGAACUAACACUUUGAAUAACGCGAUGAUUAUUAUUGCAUGGAACCAUUCAAGAUCCAUUGUGUUGCAAUCUACUUGAUACCAAAUAUAUUGGGCAUUCCUAUUUCUCUUUCCUGUUGUGUGUAAAUCUCUGGAAAAAUCAAACUGGCACAUUGUAGGGCUUUUUAUGUGGUGGUCUCGAUGAGAAUAUAUUUUCUGUGUAUUGAUCAA
This is a long non-coding RNA of Ipomoea nil (Japanese morning glory), 1113 nucleotides long. RefSeq lists it as uncharacterized. The record is from RefSeq and is a predicted model, not a curated record. The transcript has 5 exons. Lineage: Eukaryota; Viridiplantae; Streptophyta; Magnoliopsida; Solanales; Convolvulaceae.